This 253-nucleotide ribosomal RNA is filed under the name uncultured bacterium. Its description in RNAcentral is "partial 16S ribosomal RNA". It matches the Rfam family "Bacterial small subunit ribosomal RNA", at positions 524 to 776 of the family's 1533-position model. The record is from RNAcentral.
UACAGAGGGGGCAAGCGUUGUUCGGAAUUACUGGGCGUAAAGGGCGCGUAGGCGGCCUUCUAAGUCGAACGUGAAAUCCCUGGGCUCAACCCAGGAACUGCGUCCGAUACUGGAAGGCUUGAAUCCGGGAGAGGGAUGUGGAAUUCCAGGUGUAGCGGUGAAAUGCGUAGAUAUCGGGAGGAACACCAAUGGCGAAGGCAGCUCGCUGGGACGUUACUGACGCUGAGACGCGAAAGCGUGGGGAGCAAACAGG